CUGCCGAGGAAUACGGGAAGAGGACAACACCCAAACUGGCAUGAUGUAACAGGAGAGUGAAAACGCAGCCAGGAGCCCCCAGUGAUGCAGCAACUAGAUGGAAAAUGGGAUCUGGUGAUGCUGAUGACAUAAUAUCAGACCAACUCAAGAGACAAAAGAUGGAUCCAUAAAAGCAAACGGAAGACUUGCUGUCA
RNAcentral lists this long non-coding RNA (194 nucleotides) under Oryzias sinensis (Chinese medaka). RNAcentral's name for it is "lncRNA (ENSOSIG00000015194.1)". Lineage: Eukaryota; Metazoa; Chordata; Actinopteri; Beloniformes; Adrianichthyidae. The record is from RNAcentral.